This 449-nucleotide ribosomal RNA is filed under the name uncultured bacterium. Its description in RNAcentral is "bacterial SSU rRNA". It matches the Rfam family "Bacterial small subunit ribosomal RNA", at positions 354 to 796 of the family's 1533-position model. The record is from RNAcentral.
GUCGAGAAUUUUUCACAAUGGGCGCAAGCCUGAUGGAGCGACGCCGCGUGGGGGAUGAAUGGCUUCGGCCCGUAAACCCCUGUCAUUCGCGAUCAAACCUCGUUAUUUAAAAGAUGACGAGCUGAUAGUAGCGGAAGAGGAAGGGACGGCUAACUCUGUGCCAGCAGCCGCGGUAAUACAGAGGUCCCAAGCGUUGUUCGGAUUCACUGGGCGUAAAGGGUGCGUAGGUGGUGAGGUAAGUCGGAUGUGAAAUCUCGGAGCUCAACUCCGAAAUGGCAUUGGAAACUACCUUGCUCGAGGAUUGGAGGGGGGACUGGAAUUCUCGGUGUAGCAGUGAAAUGCGUAGAUAUCGAGAGGAACACCAGUGGCGAAGGCGAGUCCCUGGACAACUCCUGACACUGAGGCACGAAAGCUAGGGGAGCAAACAGGAUUAGAAACCCCAGUAGUCC